RNAcentral lists this long non-coding RNA (6083 nucleotides) under Homo sapiens (human). Its description in RNAcentral is "HSALNT0323732". The record is from RNAcentral. Lineage: Eukaryota; Metazoa; Chordata; Mammalia; Primates; Hominidae.
UAUUUUUAAAACUUUUUCUGAGUGGUUGCCAUUGAGUUUAAAUAUAUAUUUUCAAUUAAUUUCAGUUUAUUUUCAGAAGACACUCUACCACUUGGCAAUACUAUAUUACCACAGAUAGGACAAGUCCCUUGUAACUGAUUAUUCCAAAUUCCUCCCUCUUAUCUCUUAUAACAUUGGUGUCAGUCAUUUCAUUCAUCCAUGAGAUAAAAUCAUCGAAUACAUUGUUGUUAUUAUUUUGAACCAGCUGCUAUCUGCUAUGUCAAUUAAAAGUAAGAAAAAUAAAAGAUAUCAUUUUACCCUUAUUUAUUCCUUUUUUAAAGCUCUUCAUUUCUCUAUGUAGAUCCAGGUUUCUGAUCUAUAUCAUUUUCCUUCUUUCUGAAGAACCUCUUUUAAAGAAGCGUCUACCAGCACAAACAUCCUCAAUUUUCAUUUUUCCUGAUAAAGACUUCACUUUUGAAAAACAAUUUUUUCUAGGUGGGUGGGUUUUUCCUUUUAACAGUUUAAAUAUUUACUACAUUAUCUAUUUUGCUUGCAUGGUUGUAGAGAGAAGUCUGAUAUCAUUAUUUUUACUUCUCUCUGGGUAGGCUCACCCACUCUCCACCCCAACCCGGCUUCUUUCAAGAUUUUCUCUGUGUUUUUGAAUAUGGUUUGCCUAGAUUUCAUUUUUUAUUUUGUUUUGUAUUUAUCCUACUUGGUGUUCUCCGAGAUUCUUAGAUUGGAGGUUUGGUGUCUGUUAUUAGUUUUGGGAAAUUCUCAGUCAUUAUUGCUUCAAGUAUUUUUUUCUGUUCUUUUCUCUCCCUCCUUCUUGAAUUCUCAUUAUAAAUAUGUUACAACUUUUGUAAUUGUCCCACGUUUCUUUGAUACUCUAUUUCAUUCAUUUUCUUCUUUUUACAUUUCUUUUUUGAUGUUUCCAUUGACUUUUUUUUCAAGCUUACUGAGUUUUUGCUUGCCUCUAUUCAAUCUAUUGAUGAGCUUAUCAAAGGUAGACUUCAUUUCUGUCACUGUUUUUGAUUUCUAGCACUCUUUAGAUUUUUUUCUUAGUUUCUGUAUUUCUGCUUACAUUACCCAUCUGUUCUUACAUGCUAUCUGCUUUAUCCAUUAGAGUCCUUAUUAAUCAUAGUUGUUUUAAAUUCAUAAUCUGAUAAUUCUAAAAUCUCAACCAUAUCUGAGUCUGAUUCUGAUGCUUGCCCUGUCUCUUAAAUUUUGUUUAUCUUUUAGUAUGCCUUUCAAUUUUUGUUGAAAGUAGGACAUUAGACACUGGGUAAAAAUAAAUGAGGUAAAUAGGUCUUUAGUGUGGGUUUUUUUGGUCUGUCUGGCUAGGAAUUAGGCCGUGUUUACUAGUUUCCUUUGCUGUAGGUGCCAUAGGCUAAAAUAUCCUCAGGUGUCCGUGUUUCUAUCACCUCAGUUGUCUUCAUGUUUCCCUAGAAACCAAAGUAGUAAUGAGUACAGGAGGCUGCAGAGCAGAGAGUACAGGGAUGUCCUUUCUUAUAGUCAGUCACUGCUGGGAAGUGAUAGGCAGCUGUGACUUCACUUGCGCAUUGGAGAAGCAAAAAAGGUUGCCUUAUUGUCCUAGGUUGGUGGCAGGCUUGCUUUUGCUCCCACUUGGGAGUGUUCUUGGUGAGGGUGGAGUGGUCUCUCAGCAACAGGGAGCUAGAUGAAGGAGUCUUAAGAAGCUGAUGUUCAGGAGUGGCCACAGGACCCAGUAAACUCACUUUUACUUCUGGUGUCUGUGGUGUUGAAAAGGCAUUUGAGUUUUCAAUGACAUAUAGGAGGUCAAUGUUCUCUUGUUCCACCAUCAUGAACUGACUCCAAUACUCCAGGGGCAAAGAAAGCAGGUGCUCGAUCACCUUGGGUUGAUGCUUGAUGUCCUGUAACAUUGUCACUGGGUCCGGAUGGUGCACAGCAUGGGCUACUAUUGUAGGGCCAAAGACUUUAACCAGAUUGGCAACAUCUGGUUCCCUAGAAAUUUCUUAAGUAAGGCCUGAGACGUGAACAUUUUCAGUUGUGCUCCCCUGUUAAUAUACAAGAGCCCUAUUGCUGUGGUGGUAAGGUUGGGUGAGGGGCAGCACUGUCCUGUCCUGUCCUGUAAUUAGGACUCAGUUUUUUACUGAGCCUGUGCCCUUGGGCUGUAACUUUGCAGGUACCUUCCCUGCUUAGGUGAAACAGGAAGGCUAGAGUGGGCUGAAAUUGAGCCUUUCCCUUCUUCGAGGUUGGGUAGGCACUGGCAGAAUAUUUUCCCUUGAGGGUAGGUCUUGCUGAGAACAGAAAGCUCUGGUGUUUUUCGAAAGAGCUGCUCUCUCACUCUCCACCCACUCACACAUUGGAAGCUAUAGGCGAUUUUUCUCUGAUCUUCUCUGUGAGAACCUGGUAGGGCUCCUGAAGGUAGAACUCCGAAAAGUGUGGGGACCUCCUAGGAAGGCCCCACUGGGAGAUUUUAAUUCUCAAACUUGUCCAAACUGAGUCUCCAGCAAUUCAUAAAUUACAGCUUUAGAUUUCAAUCCCAGUACUAGUUCCAGCAGAGAUUUCUGCUCCAGGGAAUUGGAUUUCUGUGUCUGCUUAUCUGUCUCUCCAGUUUUUGGGGGGUGUCCAUUUGUCUCAAGACCUCAAUUCUCUCAUGGACCUAAGAAGAGCUGUUGAUUUUUAAUUUAUUCAGCUUUCUAUUUGUUUUUAGAAUGCAGUAGUGACUUCUGAACUCCUAUAUGCUGGCCAAAAAAAGAAAAUCAGUUUUAUUUUGAUUUUUGUUGAAUGAACAUUCUUCUUUAAAAGUAAUCUAAAGAUCAUGUCUACAGAAGCUGAGUGAUCAUAGUUCCUGCUCUAUUAGCCAUUCAUCUGGAGAAACAAAUGAGGAAUAUAAAGAUUCUAUUUGCUGGAACCAGCUAAGGCAACUUUCCUAUAAAGGCCCCUUUGAUGAUACAAACUUCUUCUUCCUCAAAGUUUAUCCCUAGAUCAGGUAUCUUUUCUUUUAAACUGUCUUUUUUUUUAACUUUGGAAAACUUGAGGAUUUUCAGUCUAUGUUUGAUAAUUUUUGUUUAUGUGUUCAAAUUAAAGCCAGGGGAAUGAGUAACACUAGCCUGUAGAGACUGGUAGGAUAUUGGCAGUCUUCUAAUCAAUUUCACUUUGCAGAUGAGGAUAUAGAAGACACAGGGAUCUGAAGAAUCUAGGCAUGUUCAAGGUCAGAUAAGUUAGAAAUAGACUGCCCCAUUCAUAGGCAUGACAUCAUUAGUAUGUUGGGAUUUGUGUAUGAGUGGUAAUAGGGCAUCUGCUGUGGACAAAUUAUUUAGAAUCUCUAGAUUGUUUAAAAUAGAUUGCAUUUUAAAAAAUUAUCACUAGACAAAUGGAGACUUGACAGGUUUUCAUAAAUUACAUAGUAAUAAGUGAUAUUAUAUAUAACAUGAUAACUAUGGCCAAAUAGUUAUUCGUUAAUAUAUUCUUUUUUCUACAUUUACUGUUUUUCUCUGCUCACAUUCAGUCUUUACAUUCACUUAUUCCCUGCUUCCUGUUAACCCUAAAAAUCCUUUACUAUUCAACAGUGUAGGAGACGAAGAAUAUAUUUCCCUUACCCAUCGUAGGUUUAUGGCUGAGGCCCCUAUAACAAAAGACAGAAUAAGGAGGAAAAAGCAUACGAACUUAUUUAAUACACCUUUUAUGUGACAUGGGAGCCUUCAUAAGUAAAUGAAGACCCAAAGAAAUAGAUAAACAUGUUUAUCUUUUAUGCUAGGUUUGAUGAAGAAGUAAAUAGUCAUAAAGAUUGGAUAUAAAGUGUGAUCUAAUAGUAAUAAACCAGAAGAAACAUAGCAAGCCUGUUGGUUCAGUUUUCUUUCUUUGCCCCUGUGCCUUCAGAUAAGAGGAUAUUCCUUUCUCACCGGAGGGUUUUAUGACCUGUUUCAGGACAGAAGGGCAAGAGAAGGUGAGAGUGACUUUCCUGCUUCUGCUGUUUUCGCAAAUGCCAAGGUGUCAUAUUUGGGGGUAGCAUGUCCUCAACUCCUAUCCACAGUUUUGAUUUUUGAUGCAGAGGCUGGGACUGACUGUGCAUGAAUAUUGAAUAGACUUAGGAUUCGUGGAACAUCAGAGGACACAGAUGUAGAUGCAAGCUCAUUUGAACUAUGUCUAGAAGGUCUGCUACUUCAAACAGAUGCGGUUUUGAGACCAGCAAUUUAAUGAGAGACAAGGAGAGUCUAGGAAUAAAGUGGAUUUAGUUGGGAUUGAGAUUGGAAAAGAGCACAAUUAAAACUAGAGGACUCUCAUGGGAACAAGUAGUCCUCUUGGGUGUAUGCAUGUGUACGUGAAUCUGAUUGGAGGUGGAAGAAUGGCAUGUAGGAGAGAAAAACCAGUGUUCUGAGGCAGCAGGUGUUCUGUAAGACAGACCAGGAAGAGGUAGUAAGGCAGCCAGAAAGCUACCAUGGUACACCAGAGAAGCCAAAUUAUUCUUGAGGUACCCACUGAGCUUGUCAGCUGCAAUGGCUAAGAGGUAAGUUGUACUUAUGAGUUUUAAGGAGAAAUGCUAGCUCUUUUAACUGGAAUGGCCACAGGUCAUUUGUUCUUGUGGCAGAUGGCUGGUCUGCUGUGACUCUGAAGGUAAUUUUACCUAUUAACAGAAUCUGAAAGACAAAACUUGCUUUCAGUGAUGUCAUAAAUGCUCUUCACUUUCAUCUAUUUCAGUGGCUGAUAAUGUUCCUUACUUCUGUAGCUGAGAUUUCCCAACUUAAUUUGGGUUCUCAUCAGGGUAGAAUUCCAUCCAAGUCAAUCGCAGCAUCUGCACCCACAGCUCUGAGAAGGGAAAGAUGUGCUUGGUGGUGGCCCCAAGUUUGCAGUAUCGGAUUGGACUCAUUAGAAUUACAAGGAAAUGAAAUAAAGAAAGGUAAAACUGGAUUUCAAAGAGUCUAAGUGUGGCUGCUGUCGUGCGGAGGUGGUGACAUGCAGACAUGCAAGCUUGGAAGCUAUGCAAGAAACAGAGCUGUGUGUCUGAAUAUCACCAUGGUUACGGUCUAUAAAAAAUAAUGAGGAGAGAAAAAUAAGAGCACUGGAGUUUGAAGGCUUGUUUUCUAAAAUUGGUUUUUAUCUAUUUGUCUGAUAAAAAUGAAAAGAUCCUGUGGUUUGCAUUAUCUUGACUAAAUCAAAAGCCAAAACCAAAUUAUAAAUUUAUCCUUAAGUGCUCACUGCUAAACAUUCAAGAAUGUUUGUGCUGUCUUUCCCUCCCCUUGACAUCAUGAAUCUUAGGUUUAAUGAAUCAUUGUGAGAUAUCAAGUCAUCCUCUAAUCUGAUGCUGAGCUACAAUCAAAAUUCAGUGAUGACUUUCUAUCUUUCACCCACUACUUCUUAGGCUUGUUGUCACUGAUGCAGUGACAUCGUUCUUGAAUUUCAAUGCUUCUUGCAUCCAGCUGUGGCCAUUGAUUCACUCAUUGAAUUUGAUGGUGUUAAGCACAAUAAGAAAGAUGACUUAAUGGGCCUUAAAUGUUCACUCUUAUUGAAACCAUUCUGCAAUUUUCAUUACCAAGAGAAGUCCCUGCUGCAAUGUUAUUCUGUUGACUUCCCAAAUGCUUCUGGUAAGCAAAGAUACAGGGAAAUGCGGUCCACACCAGCUGUUUCAAUCUAAUUGAGAAAGAAACUAAGUGCUGAUAUUUAGUAAAAGUCUACAAAAAUGCUCUUUUUUUCUUAAUGACGAAAGGACAAAAGGCAUUGCAUCUUCACAAUUAAAGGAAAGCAUGAACAUCGGCGGUUUUCCAAAAUUAGCAUUCUUAGACAAUAUGAAGACCCGUAUUUUUAGAUGAUUCCUUAAUAUUAGAAAAUAUAUACUGAAAGGGAUCAGAGUAUGCCACCCCAAAAUAUAGCACUUUGGCAUAAGGAUUAUUUUGAGCCGAAGGCAACUGAGAAACAGUAAACAUUGAAAAGACUUCUACCCUCCUGUAUUUGGCUAAAAUCAGGUCAUAAAUUUCCCUUCGUGAAGGUGCCCCACCUUCUCCCUUCUCUUGUGCCAGGAAAGGGAGAAUGGUUUGUAAUCACCAGAGAUGAUCUCCAGGGGUGUCCAAUCUUUUGGCUUCCCUGGGCCACAGUGGAAGAAGAAGAAUUGUCUUGGGCCACACAUA